Molecule: long non-coding RNA, 4397 nt
Filed under: Mus musculus (house mouse)
Lineage: Eukaryota; Metazoa; Chordata; Mammalia; Rodentia; Muridae
Description: long non-coding RNA chr14:119634595-119638992
Source: RNAcentral
ACACACGUGGGAGAACAUGCACUCAUACACCUGCACACAUUUAAAUUAAAAUUUUACCGAAGUAUAUUUUUACUCCAUGUUUUAUUGCUUCUGCCUUUAUUUCUCUUAUGCUGGGAUGGGGCAUUAUAUGCUUUCAGGCUAUUUAAGGUUUGUGUGUCUGGGAGCAGAUGUGGGUUUAAUGGUGUCUUUAAGGCCUGCUGUGCCACUUCCAUAAGUAGAUUUCCUGAAACAGGGUUUGACCAGAGGGUUCAAACUGACAUUUGGAAACUUGAUGGCUACAGUGAGGGGUGCACAAAGGGAAGGGUCAUUAAAAUAGCCCAAUAUUGACAGAUUUAAAGAUUUCUAUAUCAUUUACUAAACAUUUUCUCUCUGGGAAGUUUUCCAGCUCAGUCAGUCUUAAAUAUUUUAUCAACAGAAAAUUUUUAAAGCGUCUACUCUGCUGCUUCUCAGUUCUUUGGCCGCAGGGUGUUCCUACCUAUCAGUGGAGAUUUAUCAGUUCCCACAAAGAUACAGAUUUUUUGUGAAGAAAGAAUAGCAGAUAAUCAUUUAACAGUAUUCAUAUGGAUAGGAAGAGGAUAAAAUACAUUAAUAUUAUCUUGAAAGAAUGAUUAAAUUCUAAAAAUUGUGGCCUAAUACACUAAUGAUGAUGUGUAAAAGUAGGUGAACAAACACAGAGAGCCAAAGGUUAAUCUAAUCAGACCUUAUUUAUAGCUUUGCCUUUUGGGUUAGAUGAUUGACACCAUAGAAGUUCACUCCUCAGAGUUUGUCUAUGAAGUAUUAUAUACUUAUAUUCUCAUAUUAUUUAUUCAUAUUAUAUGAUAUUAUAUACUUAUAUACUCAUUACAUACUUAUAAACUCAUAUUAUAUGAUAAUAUUAUACACUUAUAUACUCAUAUUAUAUACUUAUAUUUUGGUCCCAUACAUUGCUCAUGUGUUCUACAGUCUAUUUUUACUCAGAUUAUUAGCAAGAGUAUUUAGUGAAAUCAAAAUUAUUCCAUUCCCAUGUAUACAGUAAAUUAUUUCUGUAUUUUAAGAGAAUAUUCCUUGACAAGAAUAUUCUUCCUUGCUUGAAGACCAAGCAAAACCUGAACCCCCAAACAAACACACAAAUUGUAAAACCCCCAAAACACACACAAACAGAACCUCCAAACAAACAAACAAACAAACAAACAAACAAACAAACCAUAAUACUCCCACACAAAAUUACAAACACACAAACUAAAACCCCCAUAAACAAAUGCACAAACACAGAAAACAGAAUCCCUGCCCCCAAACAAGCAAACAAACAAACCCAACUCAGAUAAAUUAAAGGAGCCACGUGUGUAAGUAUUCUAUUUCUGGUGACUAUAAAUACAAAAAUGACUGGUACCAAAUGGCCAAGAAAGGUCCUCCAUACUGGCUUUAUCUUGGAGAGUUUUUACUUCUCGUUUUCUAUAUUAUUUUGAAUUUGGUUUGGCAAUAGACCAAACUAUAACAUCUUGUGAUGACCCAUGAGAAUAGAGAACUGUGCCAAUCAAAGCAUCACUAAGACUACUACAGCAUCCCAACAUGUGCUGACUGGUCCCUCCUUUAUAUAAGACCGUAGAAAGAUGUCCACCAGUUAUAAGGAAAGCAUAUGACAUAGAAAAUCAUUGUUACAUGAAAAUAUGCCUAUGAAUUUAAUGGACCCAAUUUCAUUAAGACACGCUUUAGCUUGAAACACAAAUAUUUUUAAUGUGAUUUGCUUUUCCCUGACAACUAGCGCAUUUGAACAUUUCCUUAAAUGUUUCUUGGCUGUUAGAAAGUCUUUGGUUGGGAAUUCUCUGUUAAACUCUAUAUCUCAUUCUAAGAAUUGGGUUAUUUGGGUAGUUGUUGUCUAACUUCUAGAGUUCUUUAUAUAUUUUGGCUAUUUGCCCUCUGUUGGAUUCAGGGUUGGUAAAGGUCUUUUCCCAUUCUGUAGGUUGCUGUUUUCUCCUGUUGGUGGUGUCCUUUGACUUUCAGAAGGUCUUCAGUUUCAUGAGAUUCCUAUUUAUUAAUUGUUGAUCUUAGUGCCUGAGCCAUUGGCGUUCUGUUCAGGAAGUUGUCUCCUAUACCAAUGGGUUCAAAGCUAUUCCCCACUUUCCAUUCUAUUAGAUUUAGUAUAUGUGGUUUUACAUUGAGGUCUUUCAUCCACUUGGACUUGACUUUUGUGCAGGGUGAUAAAUAUGGAUCUAUUUGCAUCCCUCUCCAUGGAGACAUUCAGUUAGACCAGCACCAUUUGUUGAAGAUGCCCUUCCUUUUCUAUUGUAUUGUUUUGCCUUCUUUGUCAAAAAUCAAGUGUCCAUUCAUAUGUGGGUUUAUUGCUGUGGCUGUGAUUCAAUUCCAUUGAUCAACCUGUAUGUUUCCAUACCAAUGCAGUUUUUGUUACUAUUGCUUUAUAGUACAGCCUGAGGUUAGGGAUGGUAUACCCCCAGAAGUUCUUUUACUAUACAGAAUUGUUUUGGGUGUCUUGGGUUUUUUUUUUUCCAUAUGAAGUUGAGAAUUGUUCUUUCAAGGUCUGUAAGGAAUUAUGUUGCAAUUUUGAUGGGACUUGCAUUGAACUGUAGAUUGCUUUUGGUAAGAUAGCCAUUUUCACUAUGUUAAUCUUACUUAUCCAUGAGCAUUGGAGGUCUUUCCAUCUUCUGAUAUGGCCUUCAAUUUUUUUCCUUCAAAUACUUGAAGUUUUUGUCAUACACAUCUUUCACUUGCUUGGUUAGAGUUACAUCAAGAUAUUUUAUGUUAUUUGUGGCUAUUGUAAAAGUUGAUGUUUCCCUAAUUUCUUGCUCAGUGCAUUUUUUGUUUCUAUAAAGGAGGACUAUCAAAACAACUCUGAGAUUCAACCUCAAACUCAUCUGAAUGGCUAAGAUAAAAUCUCAAGGAACAGCACUUGCUGGCAAGGAUGUAGAGCAUGGGGACUCCUACAUGGCUGGUGGGAGUGCAACCUUGUAUAACUGUUCUAGAAAUCAACUUCAUAGUUUCUCAGAAAACUGGGAAUAGCUCUAUCUAUCUCAAGACUCAGCUAUACCUCUCCUGAGCAUAGACCAAAAAGAUGCUCCACCACACCACAAGGACAUGUGCUCACUAUGUUAAUAGCAGCUUUAUUCAUAAUAGCCAGAAGCUGGAAACAACCUAGAUGUCACUCAACUGAAGAAUGGAUAAAGUAAAUGUGGUUCACUGACAAAAUGGAAUAUUACUCAGCUAUUAAAUGCAAAAACAUCAUGAUGUUUACAGGCAAAUGGAUAGAACUAGAAAAUAUUUACCCUGAGUGGCAUAACCCAGACAAAAAAGAGCAUGCAAGGUGUGUAUUCAUAAUGGAUAUUAGUCAUAAAGCACAGGAAAACUAUGCUUAUAAUUCACAGAUCGAAAAGAACUCAGAUAACAAAGGGGGCCCAAAGGAGGCUGAAUCUUUUUCAAAAGGGGAAAUAAAAUAGAUAUUAGAUAUAGAUUGAGGGGAGAAUUGCAUGGGAGAGGAACUGGAGUGGGGAGCAUGACAGGGGGGUCAGGUAUGGGGGAACAAGGGAAAGAGUUGGCAGUGAGGAUGCAUCUCUAGGACAUAGCAGGGACCUGGGAUGGGGAGAGGCCCCAGGGUGGCUAUGGAGUGACUCUAACUGAGACUCUUAGCAGUGGGGGUUCUGGAUCCUGAAGUGUCCACUUACUGUAGCCAGGAAGGAGUCUCAGUGAAACAAUACGGACUAAAACCACAAAACCUUCCACCAAAGAUGUGUCCUACCUACAAGAUGUGCAUGGACAAAGAAAGAGGGGAGACAAGAGGGAAUGGCCAACCAAUGACUAGCCCAAAUUGAGACCCAUCCCAUGGGCCAGAACCAGUCUUUGACACUAUUAAUGAUACUCUGUUAUGCUUGCAAACAGGAUCCUAGCAUAACUGCCAUUUAAGAGGCCCUACUCAACAGCUGAUGGAAACAGAUGAAAAGACCCAUAGCCAAACCCAUAGCCAUAGGUGGAACUUGGGGACUCUUGUUGGAAGAGUUGGGGGAAGGAUUGAGGAACCUGAAGAGGAUAGGGACUUAAUAGGAAGAUCAACAGAGUCAACUAACCCAGACCUACGGGGGCUCCCAGAGACUGAGCCACCAACCAAAGUGCAAGCCUAGACUGGACCUAGCUCCUCCUCUCUCUGCACAUAUGUAAUAAAUAUGCAGCUUGGUCUUCAGGAGGGUCCCCCAACAACUGGAGCAGGGGUUGUCCCAGACUUUGUGGUCUACCUGAGGAUCCCAUUCCCUUAUCUGGCCAGCUACUCUGGCCUUGGUGAGAGAGGAUGUGCCUUGACCUACAGUGAUUGAUGUGCAUCUGGGUACAAAAUUUGUUACCCUUUUAUGUUAUUUUUGAAAAUUAAACUUUUAAAAUCUAAAACUCCCAGUUCUAUGCCUGGCAGAGUUUGGACU